RNAcentral lists this ribosomal RNA (416 nucleotides) under Cryptococcus sp. LCF-20. RNAcentral describes it as "eukaryotic LSU rRNA". The stretch from base 91 to 244 matches the Rfam family "5.8S ribosomal RNA". The record is from RNAcentral. Lineage: Eukaryota; Fungi; Basidiomycota; Tremellomycetes; Tremellales; Cryptococcaceae.
CUUUAUAAUCCCUAACACCUGUGCAUUUUGUCGCUUCGGCGAUAUUUUACAAACAACUGUGUAAUGAAUGUAAACUAUUAUAAUAAAUACAACUUUUAACAACGGAUCUCUUGGCUCUCGCAUCGAUGAAGAACGCAGCGAAAUGCGAUAAGUAAUGUGAAUUGCAGAAUUCAGUGAAUCAUCGAAUCUUUGAACGCAAAUUGCGCCUUUUGGUAUUCCGAAAGGCAUGCCUGUUUGAGUGUCAUAUAGACUCUUAUAACUAGUUUUCUAAUUAUAAGGUUUGGACGUUGCCAUUAGUGGCUCGUCUUAAAUGACUAAGUGGAAUGCGUAAUAAGUUUUCGCUCCCUCCACUCUAAUACUAUUUUAGUUUAGACCUCAAAUCAGGUAGGACUACCCGCUGAACUUAAGCAUAUCAA